CCUUUAUGGAAGUAAGACCCCUGAAAGAUGAUCAGGUAGAUAGGUUAGAAGUGGCAGUGCGGUGACGCAUGAAGCGGACUAAUACUAAUCGGUCGAGGACUUAACCAA
This 108-nucleotide ribosomal RNA is filed under the name Lactiplantibacillus plantarum. RNAcentral's name for it is "partial 23S ribosomal RNA". It matches the Rfam family "Bacterial large subunit ribosomal RNA", at positions 2815 to 2925 of the family's 2925-position model. The record is from RNAcentral. Lineage: Bacteria; Bacillati; Bacillota; Bacilli; Lactobacillales; Lactobacillaceae.